Molecule: RNA transcript, 4225 nt
Organism: Cercocebus atys (sooty mangabey)
Lineage: Eukaryota; Metazoa; Chordata; Mammalia; Primates; Cercopithecidae
Gene: ZIC3
Gene name: Zic family member 3
Exons: 6
Source: RefSeq, a predicted model, not a curated record
GAGGCUGGGACUCGCGCGGCGAGCGGCAAGCGGCGAGUACCGAGCCUGCCUACUGCCCGCUGCCCGCCGGCGGGCCGCUAGCCGGUUCCGCCACUAGGCGCAGCCCAGCCCAGAGGCCGGUACCCAGGGAGCCUCCUGGCCCUGCGGUUCUGUGCACUCGGAGAGAGGAGGGGUGCCCGGGACAGGAUUGGCAAACUCCGCCCUCCACUUACUAUUUUGCUUAUUUUUCUUUGUGCGCGCCUGUUAGUUUGUUAAACCAGAUCUAGUCCCAGAGUCUUUUCUCCUCCCUCCUCCCCCCCCCAACACCCCCUCCCUGCUCUGUCUUCCCCUCCUCCCUCCUACCCCUCUGCAGGAGACUCUCGCAGUGACGGAAAGUUGCAGCCCCUGGUAGCGCCUUGGGGGUCUCCCGGCAGUGUCCAACCGCCGCCACCCCUUUCCGACUACGGCACUUCGGAGAUCUCCUCCUUCGCCGAUACCCUCUCUCACUUCGGCCGGAUCGCCUGUGCCCAGAACGUCCCACCCAUGACGAUGCUCCUGGACGGAGGCCCGCAGUUCCCUGGGCUGGGAGUGGGCAGCUUCGGCGCGCCGCGCCACCACGAGAUGCCCAACCGUGAGCCGGCAGGCAUGGGGCUGAAUCCCUUCGGGGACACAACCCACGCCGCCGCCGCAGCCGCCGCCGCUGCCUUCAAGCUGAGCCCUGCCGCGGCGCACGAUCUAUCUUCAGGCCAGAGCUCGGCUUUCACGCCGCAGGGUUCGGGCUACGCCAACGCCCUGGGCCACCAUCACCACCACCACCACCAUCAUCACCACGCCAGCCAGGUGCCCAGCUACGGCGGCGCUGCCUCUGCCGCCUUCAACUCAACGCGCGACUUUCUGUUCCGCCAGCGCAGCUCCGGGCUCAGUGAGGCGGCCUCGGGUGGCGGGCAGCACGGGCUCUUCGCCGGCUCGGCGAGUAGCCUGCAUGCUCCACCUGGCAUCCCCGAGCCCCCUGGCUACUUGCUCUUUCCUGGGCUGCAUGAGCAGGGCGCUGGGCACCCGUCGCCCACAGGGCACGUGGACAACAACCAGGUCCACCUGGGGCUGCGUGGGGAGCUGUUCGGCCGUGCUGACCCAUACCGCCCAGUGGCCAGCCCGCGCACGGACCCCUACGCGGCCGGCGCGCAGUUCCCUAACUACAGCCCCAUGAACAUGAACAUGGGCGUGAACGUGGCGGCCCACCACGGGCCCGGCGCCUUCUUCCGUUAUAUGCGGCAGCCCAUCAAGCAGGAGCUGUCGUGCAAGUGGAUCGACGAGGCUCAGCUGAGCCGGCCCAAGAAAAGCUGCGACCGGACCUUCAGCACCAUGCAUGAGCUGGUGACACAUGUCACUAUGGAGCAUGUGGGGGGCCCGGAGCAGAACAACCACGUCUGCUACUGGGAGGAGUGCCCCCGGGAGGGCAAGUCUUUCAAGGCGAAGUACAAACUGGUCAACCACAUCCGAGUGCACACGGGCGAGAAGCCCUUCCCAUGCCCCUUCCCGGGCUGCGGGAAGAUCUUUGCCCGUUCUGAGAACCUCAAGAUCCACAAGAGAACCCACACAGGUGAGAAACCUUUCAAAUGUGAAUUUGAAGGCUGUGACAGACGCUUUGCCAACAGCAGCGACCGUAAGAAGCACAUGCAUGUGCAUACCUCGGACAAGCCCUAUAUCUGCAAAGUGUGCGACAAGUCCUACACGCACCCGAGCUCCCUGCGCAAACACAUGAAGGCCUCAGCAGGUGAUGAGAAAGGCAUGAGAACGAGCUGGAAGGAGAAUGAGGCACCGAGAGGCCCAAGCUGAAAGAAAUAAAGACUUCCAGUACAUCACCCUGACAGUAAAGAGCGAAGGAAAAGUGACGUCUGCUUCAAGACUAGUAAGGAAAUGGAAAUGUCAGAACACAGUAGCUGGGUUGCUAAGGUGUGUGGAACAAAAUAAGACAUCUACGCAUUGAAAGGGAGAUUAUCAUCUAGAAAGACAAUGGAAUUCAUCCCAUUAAUGGAAAUAUGUAAUUAACAAGCUGCUGGUGUCAGUCUGUAGUGAGAACCCUGGCUUGGGCUCUUGCCUCCUAUAGAGUGGCAGUCUUGUCAACGUCUUCUGGCUCCUUGUGGGGGUGGCACAGAUACAAGUGCAAAGAGGAAAUCAGCCUCCCCACUUUCAUGGAAUCUUAGAUGUUUGAGACUACAUUCCAAGGAGAUGGACGAUUGAAUAAAGAGCACCGUAACACAUCCUCGUGAUUAUUCAGAUGUCACUCUAAAAUAUUUAUCAUCUCGAAGGAUCAUUUGUUGAACUCAGUCACUGUGCUGUGAAAAAAGCCAACAUUUCCAAUGAAGAGACCACAUGGAGAAACAUGUAGAGAGGAACCAAGGCCCCUAGCUGAUAGCCAGCAUUAGCCAUCAAGCAUGUGAAUGAAUGAACCUUCAGAUGAUUCCUGCUCUCUGUCAUUGAGUCUUCCAUUUGUGACCCCAGACAUGGUAGAGGAGAUACAAACCAUCUUCACCAUGCCUGUUUGGAUUCCUGAGUCACAGAAGUUGUGAAAGAUAAGUGAUUAUUGUUGCUUUAAGUCACUAUGUUUUGUGGUAAUUUGUUACUCAGUGAUAGAUAAUGAAUACACUUGUACUUGAUAGACUGGAGCAGUGACUUGUAAUGUAUAUAUUUUUAAAUCAUAGAUUCAUUAGAAAAUUUGAUGAAAACUGAAGUGACCUCCAUGACCCCCACAUUCUGGUGUUCAUACCCAUGUAUAAUCUCCUUCUCUUAGGUGUGGGCAGGACAUUUGGCUUGCUUAUAACCAAUAGAAUAUGGCAAAGGCUUUGAGCUGUCACUUCAGUGAUUAUGUUAGCUUAUAUAAGACUUUCUCUUGCUAGCAGACUCACUCUAGGGUCUUGCUUUCCUGGUUUGUUUUGAUGAACCAAGCUGCCAUGAAUCUUACAACCACAAGGAAAUGAAUUCUGCCAACACCCAGAGUAAACUUGUAAGCAGACCCCAGUUGACCCUGAAGAUGAGAACAGAGGCCUAGCUCACACCUUGAUGGCAACGUCACAGAGAACAUUGCUAAGCCAUGCAUAGACUUACUGACCCACAUCAACCAACUGUGAGAUAAUAAAUGUAUGUGUUGUUUUAAGCCAUUACAUUCAUGCUAAUUUGUUAUACAGCAUAGAAAACUAACACAAAAGUGAUGGAUCCUCUCCAAGAAAAAUGUAGAGACUUACAUAUACCUAGAAAUCUUAUGCAAUAUUUUUGGAUGUUGAUGGACCCCUGAUUUCCAUGAAUGGUGCCUAGUUUAAGAACCACUGCUCUAGAAUGUUUGUCCUGCAGUAACAUGCAGAAGAGUGCAAUGCCUAGAAAAUUUCCUUUGUGAUGUUUUGUAUUAAAUAUUUUAUUUACCUGCUUAAUUGUUCAAUAUCUUAUCACUGAAUAUUUUCCACUUGAAAAUUGAAUUUCUCUUCUGCAUCUUUUGAGGUAGAUCAUUGGAAGAGCAUCAUAUUAUUUUUCCAGUCAUAGAAGUAAUCCACUCUCAGUCACUUUCCCCACCUCCCACUCCUCUCUUUCAGGAGAAAAAACUAGGUGGAAGAUCAGCAGACAUCAGUAAACAGUAGACAAACAGGAACAGUAGAUAGAGUGAUGCUAGUGAGUUAAUUAUUGCAUGGAUACUAAUGAAUACAAUUCAGUAAAUGGUUUACAUUUUUUUCUAUUUUUCUUUGGAAAGUUAAACUUAAGAUACAACAGUUAUUUCUUUUGAUCAUAAUUGAAAUGCAAUGCAAAUGAAAAUCUUUCUUCCAACCUCACUGUUAAAGCAAGUGUUUUCUUUACUGUCUUUUUUCAUUAACAAUUGCUGUGCUCUAAUAAAAUUAGAGGAUAUAGAAAAUAGUACUCAUUAUGAAUUCUUUAACACUGGCAUGCAAACAUCCUCAUUAAAGCCAGUGAUCUAUGUUUUGUUGCUUGGAUAAAUGUCUGUAUUCUUGUCUUUUAUUCUUACAAUCCAUUUCUUUGCUGAAGAAGCACAAUAAAGCUCGGACAGCGUCAACUCCCAUUUUUGAUGAGACUUAAAGAAAGGACACAUUUCUCUCUAAGGGCCAAAUGGGAUUGUAAUGGGAGCUCCAAAGUAGAUAGAGGCAUAGUACAUAAUGACUUUCUGCCUUCACAUACCCUUCAUUUAUUUUGUGAACAUUAACUCAGGGAAGGUGACAAGCAAGUAUCUAUAUGGCUCCCUGGA